This 1031-nucleotide long non-coding RNA is filed under the name Rattus norvegicus (Norway rat). Its description in RNAcentral is "long non-coding RNA NONRATT022564". The record is from RNAcentral. Lineage: Eukaryota; Metazoa; Chordata; Mammalia; Rodentia; Muridae.
CAUCACAUAAUAGUCAAAACACCAAAUGCACAAAACAAAGAAAGAAUAUUAAAAACAGUAAGAUAAAAAAGUCAUGUAACAAAUAAAGGCAUACCUAUCAAAAUUACAAAACACUUCUCACCAGACACUAUGAAAAUCAGAAGAACCAGGGCAAAUGCAUACAUACCCUAAGAGAACACAAAUGUCAUCCCAGCUACUAUAUCAAGCAAAACUCUCAAUUGGCAUAGAUGGAGAAUGUCCCCGCCAGCAGGGACCAAGUUAUUCAGGGUCCCGAAGGGGCGAUACCCUUGGGCCUAAAUGGGGGGCAAGAGAAGGAGACCAAGCAAAAGUUCUGUUGUCAAGGUCUCGUUUAUUGAGAGAAAUGUAUAGCAUUUAAAGCUCUGAGGCAGGAAUAGAAGCGGGAACUGAAGCUUAGGGUGGGGGAAUUUGGGAAGUGCCCAAGGAUAUAAGGUGAAUCACUACACUGCAAGAUAUCCUCCUAUAACAAAGAGGCAACAGUCUUCCGGGGACAUGUUCUUUGAAAAGGUCGAACCCUUCUCAGGAAUCUGCUCAGGAACAUCCUGUGUUUUGCUCAGGCUGAAACAUCCUGUCAUUGCUCCCAGAGUCUUCCUGGGAGAGGCUUUAGUUCAACAAUCUCAUGUCUGUAUGGCAGUCAUUUCAAGGUUGAACCUCUGUGGCCAUGCAGCCCAGAGUCAAGUAGCCACCUUGAGCUAUGCAGUCACAAAGCAGCCAGGCCCAAAUCCAAUACGGCUCCUUACAGGAGAAACCAAGACAUUGAUGAAAAAACCAAAGUUACAUGAUAUCUUUCUACAAAUACAUCACUAAAAAAGAUAAUACAAAACUCUAACACAAGAAGGGAAAUUACAUGCUGGAAAAAGUAAGAGAGUAAUCUAAUUUCAAGUAAACAAAAAGAAGAUAGCCACACAAACAUAAUUCUGCCUCUAACAACAAAAAUAACAGGGAACAACAAACAUUGGUCCCUAAUAUCUCUCAAAAUCAGUGGACUCAAUUCCCCAAUUUAAAAAAAAAAA